GUAAAACCAAUGUAGUUGUGCAGUACAUUAAUCUUAGUAACUAGAAGCGCCAAAACCUGGAAGUCCCAGCCCAAUCAGGCUUUGAAUAAGUGUAAGAAACAGACGCACAAACAGUUGGCGUGCCUCUUCAUGACUGUAGUUGUUGCGUUCAUAGCUAUAGAGAGAGGUGGUGAAUGAAUCGGGGUUUGGUUUGGGCGAUGCUGCUGCUGCUAUGCCUUUGGAAACCCCUGAAUCUGAUAUGUAUCAGAGCAGCAUUGGCGCACACCGCCUCGCCUACCGCUCUCACAUAUCCAAGUUUGUAAAAGCCGGUCUCAUCAACCACGCCUUCCACCUGUUCGACCAAAUGACCCAAUCCAAUUGCCGCGUCUUCAGCGUCGACUACAACCGCUUCAUCGGCGUCCUCAUUCGUCACUCCCGCCUCCACCUUGCCUACCACUACUACCGCCACCACGUCAUCCCUCGCGGCUUCUCCCUCCUCCCGUUCACCUACUCCCGCUUCAUCUCAGCCCUCUGCUCCUCCUCCAAUAGCCCCCCCGUCAUCCAGGACCUCCUCAUCGACUUGCACGCUCUCGGCUUCGUCCCCGACAUCUGGGCCUUCAACACUUACCUCAGCUUCUUGUGCCGCCACAAUCGCUUAGAAUCCGCCCUCGAACUCUUCCACUCCAUGCCCUCCAAGGGGAGAGAGCCCGACGUUGUUUCUUAUACUAUUAUCGUUGACGCGUUGUGCAAAGCUCAACGCUUCGACGAGGCUGCUAGGGUUUGUCGUGGUUUGACUGGCAAAGGGUUGAGCCCUGAUUUUAAAGCCUGUGUUGCUAUUGUUGUUGGUUUGUGCCGUGGGCGUCGCGUUGAUUUGGCCUAUGAGCGUCGCGUUGAUUUGGCCUAUGAGCUUGUUGUCGAUGUGAUCAAGGGUGGGGUGAAGGUUAAUAUCUUGGUUUACAAUACUUUGAUUAAAGGGUUUUGCAAAAUGGGAAGGGUUGACAAGGCGACGAAGAUUAAAGCGUUUAUGAGCCGGAAUGGGUGUGUGCCGGAUUUGGUUACUCAUAAUAUACUGUUGAAUUACUGUUGUGACAAGGGGAUGGUGGAUGAGGCCUUGUGGAUGGUGGAGACAAUGGAGGCGGAGGCGGAGGCGGAUUUGUAUAGCUAUAAUGAGCUGUUGAAAUGUUUUUGCAAGGCUAAUAUGGUGGACAAGGCUUAUACGGUGCUGGUUGAGAGGAUGCAGACCAAAGGACUGUGUGAUGUUGUUUCGUAUAAUACUCUUAUCACAGCAUUCUGUAAGGUGCGCCGUACUAGGAGAGGUUAUGAGUUGUUUGAGGAGAUGUGUGGGAAGGGGAUUAGGCCAGAUAUGGUGACGUUUAAUAUACUUAUUGAUGCCUUUCUAAGAGAAGGAAGUAUCCAAGUGGUUAAGAAACUGCUUGGUGAAAUGACAAGGGCGGGCAUUCUUCCUGAUCUUAGAUGCUAUACUGCAGUAGUUGAUCACCUGUGCAAGACUGGAAAGGUUGAUACGGCUCAUAGUGUUUUCCGUGACAUGGUGAAGAAUGGGGUAAAUCCGGAUGUAAUCUCUUACAAUGCACUUGUAAAUGGAUUCUGUAAGGCUUCUAGAGUUAUGGAUGCCAUGCGUUUAUAUGAUGAAAUGCAGAGGAAUGGUUUGUACCCUGAUGAGGUAACUUUCAAGUUGAUAGUUGGAGGGCUUAUAAAGGGGAAAGAACUUUCACUGGCCUGUAGGGUUUGGGAUCAGAUGAUGGAGAAAGGCUUAAAACCUGACAGGCAUCUUUCUGAGACUCUAGUAAAUGCCUUUCUAAGAGAAGGAAGUAUCCAAGUAGUUAAGAAACUGCUCGAUGAAAUGACAAGGGCGGGCGUUCUUCUUGAUCGUAGAUUCUAUACUGCAGUAGUUGAUCACCUGUGCAAGACUGGAAAGGUUGAUACGGCUCAUAGUGUUUUCCGUGACAUGGUGGAGAAUGGGGUAAAUCCGGAUGUAAUCUCUUACAAUGCACUUGUAAAUGGAUUCUGUAAGGCUUCUAGAGUUAUGGAUGCCAUGCGUUUAUAUGAUGAAAUGCAGAGGAAUGGUUUGUACCCUGAUGAGGUAACUUUCAAGUUGAUAGUUGGAGGGCUUAUAAAGGGGAAAAAACUUUCACUGGCCUGUAGGGUUUGGGAUCAGAUGAUGGAGAAAGGCUUAACACUUGACAGGCAUCUUUCUGAGACUCUAGUAAAUGCCAUUCAAUCAAGUGAAGGUAAUUACAUCUGGAAAUUGGUUUGUCCUACUUUUAUGAUGCCCAUGGUGCAACCCCAUACCUUUUUGUAUGUCUAUCGUCCCAUAUACUAUGUGGUGUAACACUACUAACUCACAGACCAGCUUCUUGUAAAGGAUCCAGACUGAGGGCAGUGCUGUAAUGGUUUCUUGCUACCAAUGGAAGUAGUGGCUUCUUAAACCUUUUUCUGGAGCAGUAUCCAAGUUUUGUUUAAUAUUUUCAACAAACUGUUGAGUUGGCGGAUUGCAUUUGUCAAUUCAAAAUGGAGCAUUAAGUUAUUUCUGGGCCAUUUUUAUACAUAGAGGGCUGUGGCUUUGUUUCUCACUCAGCACAACUGAUAUUAGUAGUAAUUGAUUAUUUGGUUGGAAUCAGUCUGGCUGCCUAUUCGAAUCUCAAUUUUUUCUUCUGAGUUCAUGUUGAAGAGGCAGGUUUGAGUUAUUCUUAUGUUAUCUGAUAUUUUCGUAAAUCCUUCACCAGUGACUGCUCAAUUCAGACUGAUUGGGAGAAACAUCAAUGUUGAAUGCCUUAUGUCAUUUUAUGAUUCUAACUAUUAUGGUCCUGUUUCAUCAAGAUGAAGUUUGUGGUUGCAGAGGAUAAUUUGAACAAUGAAGAUUUGCAUUUAUUGGUGAUUUAAUCUUCUUGUGACGUGGGCCUAGGUCCUUGUUGCCUAUUCUAGUGAGUUGUUGAACAAUGAACUCAGCAUGGAACUUCAGGCUUCUCUAAAGAAAUGUUACCGUGAUCAUUACAAUUAUUCAAAGUAUGUUUCUACUUUUUUAAUUUCAGCACAUUCAUUUAUUAGAGAGCUAUGAUAUUCAGUGUGAUUUUGUCGACCUUUGCCCGUGCUAACCCCUAAUGGAACAAAACAAACAAAAUAUCGUAAGGAAAAAAUGGAUGUAUGAAUCAUUUGAAAGGUUGCAUAGUGUUUCAGAAGGCUGUUGAGAAUCAAUGGAGACUGACUGGAAACUGCAAUAUCUUAAGUUAUUUGGUAAAUUUUCACAUUUGUCAGUGGACUGCUUUAUAGUGCAUUUAUGCGAGAGACUCUGAAAUUAAAAUAACACUUUCUGCAGUUGGCAGUUGUUACAUUUAGUUAGAUAAUAUCAUGGUGCUGUGUAUUCUUUGUAGUUGUAUUGAACCUAAGGAAUUAAGAACAUGUUCUGACUGCAACUUUGAUUAUUUAUGUUUGAUUUGGGAAGGUGGGGGAAGGGUUGAUAUCUGGUAUUAGUCUAUGAAACAAAAUAAGUAUAUGAUAUCAAUGUACCCUAGUUUAUUGCAUGCUGGUAUUUCCUUGUCGAUAGAUUCUACCCUAGACGAUGUUGAACCUUGGAACAGAUUAGCUGAAUGACAACUGCAACCAGCACAAAAAGCAGUUUGCAGAUUGGUUUGAUACACAAUUGAAGAAAUACAAGUAAAAGGGCCUAAGAGAAAGUACAGGUGAAGGACAUAAGUCUGGAUAAUUGAUGAUUUCCCGAUGGAAGUGAAUCAUCUAGGGUCACCAUCCAACCAACUUCUGGAGUAGGAAAGAAAAAUGGGAAAUGAUUAAGAAAAUGCCAUGUUGGUCCAAGUGCCAGUAAAUUUAUUGUAUUAAGAAAACUAGUUUCAAAACUGCUACAUUUUAGAGUUCGUUUGGAAAAGUGCAGUGUUGAGACUGGGUUGACAACUCUUCCAUUCAUUCACUCACUCACUUUCUUGACUGUGUAUUAAUCAAAGAUUUUCAUUUCAAUGACAAAUAUUUCUCCAAUGUGGUAUCCCAAGCCCUUUAUUCAAACAUAUUAUUACACAAAUUGUAGAAAUUCCUAACCAGCUCCGUUUCUAAUAUAAUCCCAGGCCAUCAAAAUGAAAGUGGGCGUCAAAUUGUGUGAAUAUAUUAUAGAAGGAAAAGAAAUAGAUUAUUUUCCUGCAGUAUUGAACAUCAUCAGACCGGGAAUAAUCAAUUGCGAGUCAAAGUUGUGACAAAUUUACAGAUGAAACCAU
RNA transcript from Vigna radiata var. radiata (mung bean), 4217 nucleotides. It is a transcript of the gene named pentatricopeptide repeat-containing protein At1g13040, mitochondrial, with no coding region annotated. NCBI's taxonomy places the organism in Eukaryota, Viridiplantae, Streptophyta, Magnoliopsida, Fabales, Fabaceae. The record is from RefSeq and is a predicted model, not a curated record. The transcript has 3 exons.